AAAUUGAAGAGUUUGAUCAUGGCUCAGAUUGAACGCUGGCGGCAGGCCUAACACAUGCAAGUCGAGCGGUAGCACAGAGAGCUUGCUCUCGGGUGACGAGCGGCGGACGGGUGAGUAAUGUCUGGGAAACUGCCUGAUGGAGGGGGAUAACUACUGGAAACGGUAGCUAAUACCGCAUAACGUCGCAAGACCAAAGUGGGGGACCUUCGGGCCUCAUGCCAUCAGAUGUGCCCAGAUGGGAUUAGCUAGUAGGUGGGGUAACGGCUCACCUAGGCGACGAUCCCUAGCUGGUCUGAGAGGAUGACCAGCCACACUGGAACUGAGACACGGUCCAGACUCCUACGGGAGGCAGCAGUGGGGAAUAUUGCACAAUGGGCGCAAGCCUGAUGCAGCCAUGCCGCGUGU
Molecule: ribosomal RNA, 405 nt
Filed under: Pseudomonas aeruginosa
Lineage: Bacteria; Pseudomonadati; Pseudomonadota; Gammaproteobacteria; Pseudomonadales; Pseudomonadaceae
Also listed under: 3 other names
Description: bacterial SSU rRNA
Rfam family: Bacterial small subunit ribosomal RNA
Source: RNAcentral